GCCGUUGUAGCUCAGAUGGUAGAGCGCGUCCUUGGUAAGGACGAGGUCACCGGUUCAAUCCCGGUCAACGGCUCCA
RNAcentral lists this transfer RNA (76 nucleotides) under Acidobacteriota bacterium. Its description in RNAcentral is "tRNA-Thr". It matches the Rfam family "tRNA". Rfam says of the family: Transfer RNA (tRNA) molecules are approximately 80 nucleotides in length. Their secondary structure includes four short double-helical elements and three loops (D, anti-codon, and T loops). RNAcentral also lists the same sequence under 6 other names. Lineage: Bacteria; Pseudomonadati; Acidobacteriota. The record is from RNAcentral.